GGGUGCUGCAUGGCUGUCGUCAGCUCGUGUCGUGAGAUGUUGGGUUAAGUCCCGUAACGAGCGCAACCCCUAUCCUUAUUUGCCAGCGGAUUAUGCCGGGAACUCUAAGGAGACUGCCGGUGACAAACCGGAGGAAGGCGGGGAUGAGGUCAAGUCAUCAUGGCCCUCACGGGGUGGGCUAGAAACGUGCUACAAUGGGAAGUACAAAGGGCUGCAAACCCGCGAGGGUAAGCGAAUCCCAAAAAACUUCUCGUAGUCCGGAUAGGAGUCUGCAACUCGACUCCUGAAGUCGGAAUCGCUAGUAAUCGCGAAUCAGAAUGUCGCGGUGAAUACGUUCCCGGGCCUUGUACACACCGCCCGUCACA
RNAcentral lists this ribosomal RNA (365 nucleotides) under uncultured Gammaproteobacteria bacterium. RNAcentral describes it as "bacterial SSU rRNA". It matches the Rfam family "Bacterial small subunit ribosomal RNA", at positions 1036 to 1401 of the family's 1533-position model. The record is from RNAcentral. Lineage: Bacteria; Pseudomonadati; Pseudomonadota; Gammaproteobacteria.